Molecule: ribosomal RNA, 389 nt
Filed under: Annelida sp.
Lineage: Eukaryota; Metazoa; Annelida
Description: partial small subunit ribosomal RNA
Rfam family: Eukaryotic small subunit ribosomal RNA
Source: RNAcentral
AUUCCAGCUCCAAUAGCGUAUAUUAAAGUUGUUGCAGUUAAAAAGCUCGUAGUUGGAUCUCGGGAGCGAGCGAGCGGUCGGGCGUUCAGCCGUGUACUUCUCACUCAUCCUACUGACCGGUACGUGCCCUGUGCUCUUAACCGAGUGUAGGGACCGUCUGGUGCGUUUACUUUGAAAAAAUUAGAGUGCUCAAAGCAGACGAGUCGUCUGAAUAGCCGUGCAUGGAAUAAUGGAAUAGGACCUCGGUUCUAUUUUGUUGGUUUUCGGAAGUCGAGGUAAUGAUUAAGAGGGACAGACGGGGGCAUUCGUACUGGGCCGCCAGAGGUGAAAUUCUUUAACUGGCUCAUGACGAACAACUGCGAAAGCAUUUGCCAAGAAUGUUUUCAUCA